Non-coding RNA from Vicugna pacos (alpaca), 156 nucleotides. Lineage: Eukaryota; Metazoa; Chordata; Mammalia; Artiodactyla; Camelidae. The record is from RefSeq and is a predicted model, not a curated record.
AAUAAUGAUUUUAUUUGGUUGUCCGUCAGACAGAGGAGAUGGCAGACUAAUGGCCGGGAGAGCCAUCUUCCCCAAGUCAGAAUUCAGGCUCCUUUUAUACCAAAAAGGGAUGGGUGUGGUUGAUUGUUGCAAACUUAUUGGUGUCAGAAUCCUUUG